UGCGUAGGUGGUCGUUUAAGUCCGUUGUGAAAGCCCUGGGCUCAACCUGGGAACUGCAGUGGAUACUGGGCGACUAGAGUGUGGUAGAGGGUAGCGGAAUUCCUGGUGUAGCAGUGAAAUGCGUAGAGAUCAGGAGGAACAUCCAUGGCGAAGGCAGCUACCUGGACCAACACUGACACUGAGGCACGAAAGCGUGGGGAGCAAACA
RNAcentral lists this ribosomal RNA (207 nucleotides) under uncultured bacterium. Its description in RNAcentral is "partial 16S ribosomal RNA". It matches the Rfam family "Bacterial small subunit ribosomal RNA", at positions 568 to 774 of the family's 1533-position model. The record is from RNAcentral.